GGUGGAGUCUGUAGCUCAGUUAGUAAAGGCGCCGGCUGGCAAACAGGAGAUUGCAGGUUCAAUCCCUGGCUGCGCCG
Molecule: non-coding RNA, 77 nt
Organism: Molorchus minor
Lineage: Eukaryota; Metazoa; Arthropoda; Insecta; Coleoptera; Cerambycidae
Source: the annotation of a GenBank genome assembly